GACGAACGCUGGCGGCGCGCCUAACACAUGCAAGUCGAACGGAGCUGCGAGAAGCUUGCUUUUCUUAGCUUAGUGGCGAACGGGUGAGUAACGCGUGAGUAACCUGCCCUGGAGUGGGGGACAACAGUUGGAAACGACUGCUAAUACCGCAUAAGCCCACGAUCCGGCAUCGGAUUGAGGGAAAAGGAUUUAUUCGCUUCAGGAUGGACUCGCGUCCACUUAGCUAGUUGGUGAGGUAACGGCCCACCAAGGCGACGAUUGGUAGCCGGGCUGAGAGGUUGAACCGCCACAUUGGGACUGAGACACGGCCCAGACUCCUACGGGAGGCAGCAGUGGGGGAUAUUGCACAAUGGGGGAAAACCUGAUGCAGCGACGCCGCGUGGAGGAAGAAGGUUUUCGGAUUGUAAACUCCUGUCGUAAGGGACGAUAAUGACGGUACCUAACGAGAAAGCACCGGCUAACUACGUG
RNAcentral lists this ribosomal RNA (468 nucleotides) under uncultured bacterium. RNAcentral's name for it is "partial 16S ribosomal RNA". It matches the Rfam family "Bacterial small subunit ribosomal RNA", at positions 28 to 507 of the family's 1533-position model. The record is from RNAcentral.